Homo sapiens (human) is the source of this 793-nucleotide long non-coding RNA. RefSeq lists it as uncharacterized. The record is from RefSeq and is a predicted model, not a curated record. The transcript is spliced from 7 exons. Lineage: Eukaryota; Metazoa; Chordata; Mammalia; Primates; Hominidae.
ACUCCUCCAGAUGGUCCAGCUGAGGCCCUCUUGGACAACACUUCCUCUCCUGCCCAUGGUGGGAGGUUGGGAAGGACAUUCCCCCAUUUCCAUUUGCUCUGCCAUUCAAAACCUUGUGAGGGCCCUCAGGGAAGAAUCCCUUUGCAGAUGAGGAAACUGAGGCCCCACGUGGUGAAGACAAUUUUUACCCGAAUCCACCCACAACAAGAGACCAUUUGGAUAAUGUACAUUAUGGGAAGAGAACAGAGUCUCAGUGAAGAUCAUGUUUCCCCAGCAACACAGGUGCCAGGAGUAGCUGGCUCUGGUCCCAGCCCAGACUCAGAAAUCCUGAGCCACCAGACCAUUUCUAGAUUAACAAUGACCCACUGGAAACCAGUGUCAGCAUAACAACAGUUACGAGAGCUAAACCUACAAAAUAGAAACACAAGUAAAACUUGUUCAAGUGGUUUGCAGUCAUUGAACAUAGAUCAGCUCCUAUGAAAACAAACUCCAUGGGUUUUCUUUGAUGGCAGUUCUGCUCUAAAGAUGGAUAAGGAAGGAGGUUCCAAGAUGGCCGAAUAGGAACAGCUCCAGUCUACAGCUCCCAGCAUGAGCAACGCAGAAGACAGGGGAUUUCUGCAUUUCCAAUUGAGAACACAGGAGCUAUGUGGAGAGUUGAUGGAGGGACAUUCCAGGCAGAGAGAACAGCAAACACAAAGGCCUUGAAGGGCUCAACACCACAUGGAAGCUGCCAAGGCUUGGGGCUCGCACCAUCUGAAGACAUGGUCUGAACUCUACGUUGGCCCUUUCAGCC